GUUCCUUUUCUUGGACGAGCUAUCUUUAGGCAGAUAAUGCAACUUCAGAGAAAGCUUGUUCCUGUGCUGCUUCAGGGGAAAAAGACAGGGGAAGUUAGAAGGGUAGAAGGGCAGAGAGACCUCAGAUCUGAGCCACCUCUGAAACCUUCCAACCAGUGGAGCGGGCAUGACAAAGCACUGUACUCUGGGCAGCCUUCUAUGGUAUACACCAGCUACACCACAACUGCAGCGUCAUCGACAGCCUGGCUGGUGAAAUAGCAAUGACACAGUUUCAGAGACAGUGUUCUAGAUAUGGCCCUGAACUAAGUAAGCUGUGGGGGAUAAAGUCUUUCAUUAGACUCCUGAGGCGUAGCCCAUUGGCAGCAAUCAAUUUCAUCUAUAUAGUCUCCCCAUGAUAAGCCUCCCGCAGUGCCCCAAGGUGAGCAGUACGGAGAUGAGAUGAACAGAUGACCUCUCCUCUCUCCAGAGAAUGUACCAGUUCUACUUGAAUUGUUACAGGAAUUCAAGUUUUGGUCAGAUUUCUAUGGGAUCCUACACCUUUCCUGUGAAUAGCUGCAGCUCCAGAUGAGGGUUCAACUGGCAGCAGAGAUGACAGGUGAAGCAGAGAAGCAUGCGUGCCCUCCAUCCAAAGCAUCCAGGGUGCAUCCACAGCAAGUGUAAGCGCUGGCUUCAAUCCCCAACAACCUCAUACACAGAAGGCGACAUUUCUUAAAAAUCAUAGAACGUGAUUACCUACACAUUGGAAUAUUUUUGUAGAUUAGUUUCACCUCUGAAGGAUAAGCUUCCUGGGCUGCACAUUCUGAGAAGUAAUGAUUUUGUUUAAUGAGUGCCAUGAAUAAUAUUUAAGGCAUUUCUGAAGACUCAUUUUUCAACUUAUAUGUUGCUUUUAUGCCUGAAUAAAACUUUUCCAAAUGUG
Molecule: long non-coding RNA, 916 nt
Organism: Rattus norvegicus (Norway rat)
Lineage: Eukaryota; Metazoa; Chordata; Mammalia; Rodentia; Muridae
Source: RefSeq, a predicted model, not a curated record